This 72-nucleotide transfer RNA is filed under the name Camelus ferus (Wild Bactrian camel). It matches the Rfam family "tRNA". Rfam says of the family: Transfer RNA (tRNA) molecules are approximately 80 nucleotides in length. Their secondary structure includes four short double-helical elements and three loops (D, anti-codon, and T loops). Further hydrogen bonds mediate the characteristic L-shaped molecular structure. tRNAs have two regions of fundamental functional importance: the anti-codon, which is responsible for specific mRNA codon recognition, and the 3' end, to which the tRNAs corresponding amino acid is attached (by aminoacyl-tRNA synthetases). tRNAs cope with the degeneracy of the genetic code in two manners: having more than one tRNA (with a specific anti-codon) for a particular amino acid; and 'wobble' base-pairing, i.e. permitting non-standard base-pairing at the 3rd anti-codon position. The record is from Rfam by way of RNAcentral. Lineage: Eukaryota; Metazoa; Chordata; Mammalia; Artiodactyla; Camelidae.
GAUGGUAUAGCUCAAUGGUAGAGCACGUGUGUAACAUGCGCAAGGUCCUGGGUUCAAUCCCCAGGACCUCCC